GCCAACUUAGCUCACCAGGUAGAGCAGUUCCCUCGUAAAGAACAGGUAAACGGUUCAAGUCCGUUAGUUGGCU
RNAcentral lists this transfer RNA (73 nucleotides) under Candidatus Treponema equifaecale. Its description in RNAcentral is "tRNA-Thr". It matches the Rfam family "tRNA". From Rfam's summary of the family: Transfer RNA (tRNA) molecules are approximately 80 nucleotides in length. Their secondary structure includes four short double-helical elements and three loops (D, anti-codon, and T loops). Further hydrogen bonds mediate the characteristic L-shaped molecular structure. tRNAs have two regions of fundamental functional importance: the anti-codon, which is responsible for specific mRNA codon recognition, and the 3' end, to which the tRNAs corresponding amino acid is attached (by aminoacyl-tRNA synthetases). tRNAs cope with the degeneracy of the genetic code in two manners: having more than one tRNA (with a specific anti-codon) for a particular amino acid; and 'wobble' base-pairing, i.e. permitting non-standard base-pairing at the 3rd anti-codon position. Lineage: Bacteria; Pseudomonadati; Spirochaetota; Spirochaetia; Treponematales; Treponemataceae. The record is from RNAcentral.